Salvia miltiorrhiza (redroot sage) is the source of this 1271-nucleotide long non-coding RNA. RefSeq lists it as uncharacterized. The transcript is spliced from 2 exons. The record is from RefSeq and is a predicted model, not a curated record. NCBI's taxonomy places the organism in Eukaryota, Viridiplantae, Streptophyta, Magnoliopsida, Lamiales, Lamiaceae.
UUCCCAAGCAUGUGCCUAAAUACCACAAAUUGCCAAGUGAGAGUGUAGAGAUUGAGAGUGUAGAGAUUAGAGAGAGAGACUAAGGCAUUAAUUGCCAAAUAUUUGAUAAGAUUCACAAAUCUUUAAAAGAUUAGCCAAAUCCUCACAAAUCUUGCAAGCCAAUUCUCUCUCUUCUCCACCCCAUUUUCGGGCAUCUCUCUCUCCCCUUCACCCCUCAUUUCCUCCAUUGUCAACCAUUGGAGAGACCUUCGGAGCUUCCAAAAAUUAUACAAAACACAUCAAUCCACUCCAAAAUCUUGCCUAAACACCUUCAAUCUCCUUGGAUUCAAGAAGAUCAUUGAAGAUCGGCUUCAAGGCUAGAGAGAGAAAGCUUGAUUGUUGGUGUAAAGUUUGGACACGAGCAGAGAAAGGAAGUAAGUAACUCCGCUUUGACGGGAGAUUUUGAGUAAGGUCUUCAGGUGGGCAAUAUUUUGAGUAUACGUAUAUCGUAAGAGCUUUCUAAAAUGAUUUGAUAAUGAUAUUUAUGAGUUUAUCAAAUGUUGAGUUAAAUGAUGUUUGAGAACUGUUUGACUUGCCAAUUUUUGAUGUUGAGCUUGUAUGUUACCAUCUACUGAUGAGAUGAGACGAAUUCGGAUCCUGCUACAAGCGGGGUUGUGUACACAGAGGUGACCGCGAGCCGUCUUCGGGUCGGCCGGUCACGGUACUUGAGAGGGAGGCCUACUUCUCAGUACCUUUGAUGAUGAUAAGUUGUAGAUGUGGUACAUACAUGGUGAGUACUUUGAUAGCGCUAUCGUUUCUUUAUGAUAUCAUGAUUAUGAAAACUGCAUGCACAGAUUCAAUUACGCUAACUUUAUUUCUGUGUAUUGCUGAGAUGCGGCAAGUUUCAAACCUAUAGCUCUAAGAGCACCUUUCUUGUUUUUCGGCGUUUGCCCACUGAGUAUUAUGUACUCACGCCCUGCAUGUAUUUCUAAAUGUGCAGGCUAAGCGGGGAGCGAGAUUGGUCUGGUGCUGGUGGGGAACCGUUUCAAUCGAUGUGAUCAUAUUAAUAUUGCCGUUAUGAUUGAUAGAGUCUUGAUGAUUAAAAAUACUUCGUUUCCUUUCGAAUCAAGUAAUAUACUCACGGUUAUGUGUCUUCAUACAUAUAAUCGGUUCGCCUUUUGCUGCGAUACUCUGCAUAUUAUGCUUCCUUAUGAAAAAUGAGCUAUACACAUUUUGUUUUUGUUCGCGAAAUUCCUGAUAAUUAAAAAGUUAUAACUACGUUGACGAUUUUA